CCUACGGGCGGCAGCAGUGGGGAAUAUUGCACAAUGGGGGAAACCCUGAUGCAGCGACGCCGCGUGAGUGAAGAAGUAUUUCGGUAUGUAAAGCUCUAUCAGCAGGGAAGAAAAUGACGGUACCUGACUAAGAAGCCCCGGCUAACUACGUGCCAGCAGCCGCGGUAAUACGUAGGGGGCAAGCGUUAUCCGGAUUUACUGGGUGUAAAGGGAGCGUAGGUGGCAUGGUAAGCCAGAAGUGAAAACCCGGGGCUCAACCCCGCGGAUUGCUUUUGGAACUAUCAGGCUGGAGUGCGGGAGGGGCAGGCGGAAUUCCUGGUGUAGCGGUGAAAUGCGUAGAUAUCAGGAGGAACACCGGCGGCGAAGGCGGCCUGCUGGACCGCGACUGACGUUGAGGCUCGAAAGCGUGGGGAGCGAACAGGAUUAGAUACCCGGGUAGUC
This 441-nucleotide ribosomal RNA is filed under the name uncultured bacterium. RNAcentral describes it as "partial 16S ribosomal RNA". It matches the Rfam family "Bacterial small subunit ribosomal RNA", at positions 338 to 795 of the family's 1533-position model. The record is from RNAcentral.